CAAAAGUAAGACCUUUCUCCAGGGCUCUCUAAUGCCAUUAUAUAGCAAAUAUGUAACUUUAUCAGGGACUAUUGUUGAGCUUUCAAAAAUUCUAUAGAAAAGUUGGUAUUUUCUGCUCCUUUAGUAACAGGUCGGUGUGUGCGUGUGGCUGCCAGUUUUAUUGGCAGCUUUAUUAACUUCCUUGCUGCCACAGCAGUGGCUUUUUUCUCUCCACUUCAGACUAUUUUUUUUCCCUGAUUUUGCUUCUUCGCUUCAAGCUGCACUGCCUCAGAAUCCCAGCCCCAGCCAGCACCCUAAUGCACUAAGGAACAAUGUGAAAUGUAGUAAAUAAUGCUUGAAGUGUGGAUAAAACUGUAGCCUUUUCAUUUUUUUCUCCACUGUUUAGUCCAUUGCAUGUGUAUUCUAUGUUUGUCUGAUGAGGAAACAUUAGAUCUGAUUCAUCAAGGUAAAGGUGAUCUUAAGGUUAAAUAGAAAGUCUCACUGAUUUCUUGAGGCUGCUCAUUUCUUAGAGAAAGAGAAGCAUUAAUGUGCAAUAAUGAAUUGAAUUCAUAACGUAUUAAACAUGCAUAUGCUGUUUUUCCAGGUGAAUUUAAAGAUUGUCAUUGUGAUAUCAUCACAACAAAUACUUCUCAGGAGAAGUUCUUACUUCACCACAUGAGUUAACCAGAUGUAUUACCAGCAAAGUCCCAGGGAUGUCAGCAGUGUGGGCUGUGAUUUUCAGCGUAGCAUUAAAGAGAGGUUUCAGGAAGGUGUGUGCUGGCAGGGAGCAGGCCAACCAGCCAGAGGUAAAAUGAUUAAUAGAUGAUUUGUAUGUAAGAAAAUAAGUAUUUCCUGAAAUGUCAGUAGCUACUACAUAAAUAUAUGCUCCAUUAUUUGACACUGCAGUGAUAAAUCCAUGCUGUGUGACAGCAUUAUGGUCUGAGGAUUGAGUUGUGAUGUCAUGGAACAGAAGUUUGACCAGUCGUUAGAAGAUGAAAGUGGAUCCAGUGCUUUUACAGUAAGAGAAGAAGGCAGGAGCUGUAUGCAGGGCUUUCUGGCCUCCAGAAUGCUUUUGGAUGCCUUGCUAGGCAUCCUUGUCCGUAACCACACUAAGAGUGCUGCGUGCUGGAUGUGCUUUCUCCUUCAUGCCGAUGUCAUGCACAUCCUCCGGACAAAUCCAUCAUUGGAGAGGUCUGGGCAUCCCUGCAAUGUCCUGAUGGUGUCAGCGUUGGUGGAAGGAAGGAGAACCAGUCCCUGCUGUGAUGCUGGGGUGCUGUGCUGAAUCCCACAGGUGCCAAGAGAGGAGGAACUGCCAAUUCCCAGACUGUUGGCUGAAGGGAAGAGAGAAGUUGGAAGCUGUCUGUCUGCAAUUUUGGGUGAGUGCUGAUUUUUUCUUGUUUAGAUAAACUAGUGAGUUAAAAAAAAAAAACAAACCAAAAAAAACCCAAAAAAACGUUGACCCCAAAAUCCAGGCACAUCCAUUGUUGUAACAAUUAACUUUUACUCACUAAGAACAUUUGGCAUGUAAAAACAUUUAAAAGGUUGCACAUCGAUAAGUGGUCGUAACGCGUAGAAAACUCUGUGCUUGCUCAUUAGGGAUCCGGUGCAACUGCAGCCACACGUUCCACCAGAACCCCCCUGCUGACUGUGUGCAGUCCUGCUGAGAACUCCAGUGGAUUCAGAAAAGACAACGUACAAAGCUUCUGUAGGUUCAACUGUCCGUUAUGUGUUUAUGUCAUACCCAGUGCACACACAAACACCAGUGCUUGCUGAGGUCUUCCACUUUUAACAUACUAAUUCAGUGAAAUGCUCAGAGUACUUGUUGACUUGAAACCUGGUGAAACUAUAGUUCCAUAUCGGACCCAAACUUGUUACUGUUUGGUUAGGUUUAGCUAUCUCACUUUUUGCUUUUGAGGGAACAUAAAUCCCAUUCACAUUUUUUUUUUUUCAAACGUGUAUGCCAAGGAUUUGGUUGUUUUCUUUCAGUUUGGGAGCACUGAGUUGGUUUUUGUCCUAACUGAUCAUAAUGACAGCUAAAUGUCAGCUUCAUUUGCGUCUCAGCUCUGAAUAUGAACAGAAAAGUAUACAAAAAGGAAAAGUUUUUAUACGCUGAAUUGCUUUUGCUGUGUACCUUAUGCCAGACAGUUUUGAUUCUGCAUGUGACUUACAGUCUAAAAGCCAGACCUAGUUUUCUAAUUAUUUUCAGUAUUUUGCAUCCAGUGCAGAGAACACUAUUAAAAUAAAUGCAUAAAAAACAACA
RNAcentral lists this long non-coding RNA (2239 nucleotides) under Phasianus colchicus (ring-necked pheasant). RNAcentral describes it as "lncRNA (ENSPCLG00000006368.1)". Lineage: Eukaryota; Metazoa; Chordata; Aves; Galliformes; Phasianidae. The record is from RNAcentral.